RNAcentral lists this transfer RNA (66 nucleotides) under Pirenella pupiformis. RNAcentral describes it as "tRNA-Tyr". The record is from RNAcentral. Lineage: Eukaryota; Metazoa; Mollusca; Gastropoda; Potamididae.
ACUCUGAUGGCCGAGAUGUAGGCGAUAGACUGUAGAUCUAUUCACGGGACUAACUCCCUCAGGGAA